UAGGGAAUCUUGCGCAAUGAGCGAAAGCUUGACGCAGCGACGCCGCGUGCGGGAUGAAGGCCCUCGGGUCGUAAACCGCUUUCAGCAGGGACGAAAUUGACGGUACCUGCAGAAGAAGGCCCGGCCAACUACGUGCCAGCAGCCGCGGUAAUACGUAGGGGCCAAGCGUUGUCCGGAUUUAUUGGGCGUAAAGAGCUCGUAGGCGGUUCGGCAAGUCAACGGUGAAAUCUCCACGCUCAACGUGGAGGGGCCCGUUGAGACUGCUGUGACUCGAGUCCGGUAGGGGAGUGUGGAAUUCCCGGUGUAGCGGUGAAAUGCGCAGAGAUCGGGAGGAACACCCGUAGCGAAGGCGGCACUCUGGGCCGGUACUGACGCUGAGGAGCGAAAGCGUGGGGAGCAAACAGGAUUAGAUACCCUGGUAGUCCACGCCGUAAACGUUGGGGCACUAGGUGUGGGGCUCUAUCGACGGGCUCCGUGCCGUAGCUAACGCAUUAAGUGCCCCGCCUGGGGA
This 511-nucleotide ribosomal RNA is filed under the name uncultured Actinomycetes bacterium. RNAcentral describes it as "bacterial SSU rRNA". It matches the Rfam family "Bacterial small subunit ribosomal RNA", at positions 355 to 879 of the family's 1533-position model. The record is from RNAcentral. Lineage: Bacteria; Bacillati; Actinomycetota; Actinomycetes.